This 555-nucleotide long non-coding RNA is filed under the name Apteryx owenii (little spotted kiwi). RNAcentral describes it as "lncRNA (ENSAOWG00000001377.1)". Lineage: Eukaryota; Metazoa; Chordata; Aves; Apterygiformes; Apterygidae. The record is from RNAcentral.
AGGUUGAUGUGAGUUCUCUUGUCUUUCCAGGAUGUUUUCAGCAACAAGAUACUGAUUCUUUUAUGGCUUGUUAAGAUAUGAACUGUCACAAGCUGUACCCCAAGGAGAGUAGUGCCUUGUGUUGUUUUGGUAAAGCUAGGAGCUAACUUUCAGUCCUUGCGGCAUGUGCAGACUGUUAUCUGAUCCCAAGAAAAUAACCCAAGGCAUGUACUAACCCUUGACUCCCAGCAUCAGAGACUGCUCCAGGACCUGCGGCCUGUUCCUCCACAGUUGCCUGCCCUGCUCUCCUCUGCUUCAGUCUCACCACUGAAGUCUGACUGCUGAGAAACCUAUGGCAAGGGGUGAUGAUGCAGUGAGCAGAGAUGCACACAGGAAGCGGUGGACACAGAUGUCUGUAAGAUGUUUGACACAGUGAGGCACAACAGGCUGAUAUGUAAGAUAAGUAGGUACAAAAUGUGCCUGGGAGACACCAAGGGAAAAAAUGUGACUGGCAUGCUGAAAAACUCAUCACGUGAAGACUUCAGAGCCCUGAACAGGCAGGAGUUUGAAUUUCCA